UACGGAAGGUGCAAGCGUUAGUCGGAAUUACUGGGCGUAAAGGGUGCGUAGGUGGUGAUAUAAGUCGGUCGUGAAAUUCCGGGGCUCAACUUCGGAGCUGCGAACGAUACUGUAUUACUUGAGGAAUGGCGGAGAAAAUGGAAUUCCAUAUGUAGCGGUGAAAUGCGUAGAUAUAUGGAAGAACACCUGUGGCGAAAGCGGUUUUCUAGCCUUCUCCUGACACUGAGGCACGAAAGCAAGGGGAGCAAACAGG
This 253-nucleotide ribosomal RNA is filed under the name uncultured bacterium. RNAcentral's name for it is "partial 16S ribosomal RNA". It matches the Rfam family "Bacterial small subunit ribosomal RNA", at positions 524 to 776 of the family's 1533-position model. The record is from RNAcentral.